CAGUAGCCACGGUAAUACGGAGGAUCCAAGCGUUAUCCGGAAUCAUUGGGUUUAAAGGGUCCGUAGGCGGUCUUGUAAGUCAGUGGUGAAAGCCCAUCGCUCAACGGUGGAACGGCCAUUGAUACUGCAGGACUUGAAUUAUUGGGAAGUAACUAGAAUAUGUAGUGUAGCGGUGAAAUGCUUAGAGAUUACAUGGAAUACCAAUUGCGAAGGCAGGUUAAUACCAAUUGAUUGACGCUGAUGGACGAAAGCGUGGGUAGCGAACAGGAUUAGAUACCCCAGUAGUCCCUGUCUCUUAUAA
This 301-nucleotide ribosomal RNA is filed under the name uncultured bacterium. Its description in RNAcentral is "partial 16S ribosomal RNA". It matches the Rfam family "Bacterial small subunit ribosomal RNA", at positions 509 to 809 of the family's 1533-position model. The record is from RNAcentral.